ACACGCCGAUCUGGAGAGAGGCCGCGAUGCGGCCCACCGAAGGGGCAAGCGGCCGCUGUCGCGACAGCGCGCCGCCCAAACUCUCAGGUAAAAGGACAGCGGGAGCG
This 107-nucleotide non-coding RNA is filed under the name Lysobacter antibioticus. Its description in RNAcentral is "Glycine sequence". It matches the Rfam family "Glycine riboswitch aptamer". From Rfam's summary of the family: This family represents the bacterial glycine riboswitch. Glycine riboswitches usually consist of two metabolite-binding aptamers domains with similar structures in tandem. Lineage: Bacteria; Pseudomonadati; Pseudomonadota; Gammaproteobacteria; Lysobacterales; Lysobacteraceae. The record is from Rfam by way of RNAcentral.